CGCCUUUUGAAUUAUUAACAUAAAAGGUCCUGCCUGCCCAGUGACACUUGUUUUAACGGCCGCGGUAUUAUGACCGUGCAAAGGUAGCGUAAUCACUUGUCUUUUAAAUAAAGACCAGUAUGAAUGGCAAGACGAAACCUAACUGUCUCCCUAAGCUAGUCAAUAAAAUUGAUUUUCCCGUGCAGAAGCGGGAAUAAUAGUAUAAGACGAGAAGACCCUGUGGAGCUUUAAACUUAAGCUAACAAACUAUAAAUGCACUAGCACCAAGUUUUGGGUUGGGGCGACCGUGAGGUAAAACAUAACCCUCAAGACGAAAACUAAGAAGGACACUUCAUACAAAUAUUAAUAACAUAAUUGACCCAAUAAUUGAUCAACGAACCAAGUUACCCCAGGGAUAACAGCGCAAUCUACUCAAAGAGCCCCUAUCGACGAGCAGGUUUACGACCUCGAUGUUGGAUCAGGACCCCCAAAUAAUGCAACAGUUAUUAAAGGUUCGUUUGUUCAACGAUUAAAGUCCU
Molecule: ribosomal RNA, 518 nt
Filed under: Pseudoeurycea leprosa
Lineage: Eukaryota; Metazoa; Chordata; Amphibia; Caudata; Plethodontidae
Description: partial 16S ribosomal RNA
Rfam family: Bacterial large subunit ribosomal RNA
Source: RNAcentral